GUCCCAGUUCGGAUUGCAGGCUGCAACCCGCCUGCAUGAAGCUGGAAUCGCUAGUAAUCGCGGAUCAGAAUGCCGCGGUGAAUACGUUCCCGGGUCUUGUACACACCGCCCGUCACACCAUGGGAGUCGGUAACGCCCGAAGUCAGUGACCCAACCGAAAGGAGGGAGCUGCCGAAGGCGGGACUGGUAACUGGGGUGAAGUCGUAACAAGGUACC
RNAcentral lists this ribosomal RNA (216 nucleotides) under uncultured bacterium. RNAcentral describes it as "partial 16S ribosomal RNA". It matches the Rfam family "Bacterial small subunit ribosomal RNA", at positions 1285 to 1500 of the family's 1533-position model. The record is from RNAcentral.